This 156-nucleotide microRNA precursor is filed under the name Physcomitrium patens. RNAcentral's name for it is "Physcomitrella patens miR1029 stem-loop (ppt-MIR1029)". Lineage: Eukaryota; Viridiplantae; Streptophyta; Bryopsida; Funariales; Funariaceae. The record is from miRBase by way of RNAcentral.
GCACACAAUGUGCACACGUUACAUCACUAUCAGUAUUUUUGGUUUGAGAGAAAGGAGGACAGGAGGCUACGAGAUUUGUUUGUGUUUGAUUCUUGGGCGAACUCCUCUCUCUCAACCAACCAUACUGAUACUAAUUGACGUUCGAAGUUUGUGCUU